GUAGGUGAGCCUGCGGAAGGAUCAUUACCGUGGGGCUCCGGCCCCAUUGAGAUAGCACCCUUUGUUUAUGAGUACCCUUGUUUCCUCGGUGGGCUUGCCCGCCAUGAGGACAUCAAAACCCUUUGUAGUAGCAGUAACUUCAGUUAAUAAUAAAUAUUAAAACUUUCAACAACGGAUCUCUUGGUUCCG
RNAcentral lists this unclassified non-coding RNA (189 nucleotides) under rhizosphere metagenome. RNAcentral's name for it is "partial ribosomal RNA internal transcribed spacer region". The record is from RNAcentral.